AAGAGAGACCCCUCCUCACAC
Molecule: small RNA, 21 nt
Filed under: Arabidopsis thaliana (thale cress)
Lineage: Eukaryota; Viridiplantae; Streptophyta; Magnoliopsida; Brassicales; Brassicaceae
Description: ATSL079540
Source: RNAcentral